Molecule: long non-coding RNA, 1831 nt
Filed under: Medicago truncatula (barrel medic)
Lineage: Eukaryota; Viridiplantae; Streptophyta; Magnoliopsida; Fabales; Fabaceae
Description: long non-coding RNA (MTRU_LNC008111)
Source: RNAcentral
AAACAACAAUUCAAUAGAAUUCAAAAAACUUACUUGUUUUUGUGAUUGAAAUUGGCUUAGAAUGGCUUGAAAUUGCUCAAAAUCGCAUCUAGGAGAAUAAAAAACGCAACAAUGGAGUUUUGGAAACUCGUAUGUCUAUUUUGUUCUUAUAACAAAUUUUCGGCAGUUAACUGCCGAGGUUUUUCUCGAUAGUUAAUUGCAGCCGAUUUUUGCAUUCCUUAACAGUUAACUGCCGAGGGGACAAAAUCGUAUUUUACUAAUGUACGUCAGUCUUAUAAAAUGUGUCAACAACAAUUUUGAAUGUAACCAAACCCAUUUACUCUUGACCUGGUCCGAGCAAAAUCAACUUCACUUAAUAGCCACUAUAUGUCCCUAUCCCCAUGUGAAAUAAUUAAUGUCCCUUCACAUGAAUGCCAUGUAACUUGUAUAUAGUUCUAAAUUGUGGUAAACAAGUGCAAUACAACUGUGACUCGCAACUGUGGCCGUGAUAUGAAAGUUUUAGGGGUGAUCUUUACAAAGAUAUUCCAUACUAUAAAGUAUAAACUAGACGACCACAAUAAAAAUCAAAUCUUGUUUUGCUAAGUGUGUUGGUUACAUAAAUUAAAUUUCAUCGUAAUAUUCUUUGAUAAAUCAUAUUUUAAUCUAAUUCAUCAAUCUUUAAAUCUUUUUCAAUAAUUUUUCUUAUAGUUUUUCUCGUUUUUCAUCUACUUCUAGUGAUUUAACUAUCCUCUUUUUUAUCAAAUCUCCUUGCUAGAGAAUCUACUUCCAUCAUGAUUAGAUCAGUUAAGCUUAUUUUUCACCAUCUUUUCUAUAUUAGCUCCAACUCUAAUGUUGAUAAUGCUAAAUAAAAUCUCAGUACAUAAAUUAUUAACUAGUAGUAUUACAAUAUUAACGUUCAAACCCAUUCAAUGAACCUCGAAAGCAUGGUUUACACUGUGAGUUCAACAUUUACAGGUCCUUGGAAGAAUUCAACAUUUACCAAGAGCAUUUUGUGAGUUCCACACUAAUGUAACUCAAACUCUAGAGUUUGCCAUUGGUGGCAGAACAAAACAGUGUGUUUUCAAAAAAAUUCUCUCCGUGAUUUUUUAUUUUUGGUUAAGUAGCAUAAUUUUUAGUUGUUGUAUUAUGAUUUCUUUACAGACCAAGAAUAUCAAUAAAUAUUAUUAUUUUUUAUAAAACUAGCAAAUUUUUUUCUAUAACCCUUUCUAAUCGUAUUUUUAUCUAUUUCUCUAUCUAUAAUAAGUAAUUUAAAAUAUUAUUGGUAAAAUGACAAUUAAUAUUGCAUUGAAAUUUGAUAACUAUAAAUAAAUAAAAAUGAAACUUUUUGUAAAUGUGACAAACAAUUAACAAUAAAUUGAGAAAAUAAUCUAACAAUGGUCGUACUUUUGCCAACAUAGUAAUAUAAUAAUGCACCUCUUUAAUAUAUAGAGCCUAGACCUCUGUUCCUUUGCCUUGUUAAGGAACCUCUUCUUCAAGCUUGAAGCAUGUUCAACACAACGAUUUUGUUGUGUUGAAGUUGAAGUGGUUGAAAAACAAUGAUCCAUGUUAUGUGGUGGGUGUCCUUAAUUAAUUUAUUUUUUGUUGAAGUGGGUCUAAGAGACUAUGAAGGUAGUUAAAACGGGUAGGUAGACACUAGACAAGCUUAAAUCAGGGACAUAAAAUUGGAAGUUCAAAGUAUUGGUGAGGGUGAGGACGUGUAUGUGUUGUGUGAUAAGAGGAAUUGUGUGACUAUGAUAUGAGAUGUCAUCACUCAUCAAUGUGAGGAGUAAAUUGUUUAUGGACCAAUGAACUUCUUGUCCUAUUACUAGUACGAAACAACUUACAAUAUGGC